GUGUCAUUUUAAUAAAUCUUAUUAUUCACAGUCAAAUUUUAGCUACUAAAUUACCCUUUCAAAAAUAUAAGAAAAUCCAAUAAAUUAUAUCUGGCUCACUCACUUGGUGAAAUGUAUAGGACAAUCCAAUAAUUAUUAAACUAAAUAGGGUUAUAAAAUUUAAAGGGUCAAUCUGAUAAAUCUUAUCAUUCAGUGUGUGAUAGAAGUUAACGAUAAAUCCAUUACGAAAUAUAGACAAAUCCAAUGAAUAUCAAAAGCUGUUAUACCUAGGAAAACAUAUAUAAAAUUCUAAUACAUUUCAUCAUUCUGAAGUUAGUACACAUGCUGGCGUGCCUGAGUCGUGAUCCGUAUCCGUAAUUUGUUUGGGAAACAUAAUCCCAGAAGAACGAUUGUUUGUGUUUUAGCCAGUAGUAAUUUUUCGCCGGAGGAUUUUACCAGUUGAGUGGCAGCAAAAAUAACUUAAAUUUCAUCGCUGUGAUAUAAGCCAAUCAUUUAUAAGCGUAAAACACGGGUCUUAAAAUGAGGGACAGCAGCGAAGGAAAACAGAUCCGGACUUCAGCGAGAACGUGCACGGUUCCAUUCUUCGCCAUGCAUAGGAAACUCCAAUCCACCAGAACAACAGCACCCAAUCCGCUGAAUCUGGAUUCAUGUACCAGCCAGGAUCAACAUGCAUCAGGCAUGAAACUGUGUCCCACCAUCCAUGAAAAGUGUUUGAAGUGCAGUGCAGUGUUACUUUUCAAAUAUCUUGAUUUUUUAAUAAAUGUUUAAAUAAAAUAAUUUUGGUUAAAUUUGUUUAUUUGAAUAAAUAAGAUGAGAAAUAGAAAUUAAAUUUCAGGUAUAUUUGAU
Molecule: long non-coding RNA, 846 nt
Organism: Uranotaenia lowii
Lineage: Eukaryota; Metazoa; Arthropoda; Insecta; Diptera; Culicidae
Exons: 3
Source: RefSeq, a predicted model, not a curated record